GAAUUGCCCUUAGUAGCGGCGAGUGAAGCGGCAAAAGCUCAAAUUUGAAAUCUGGCUCUUUCAGAGUCCGAGUUGUAAUUUGAAGAAGGUAUCUUUGGGUCUGGCUCUUGUCUAUGUUUCUUGGAACAGAACGUCACAGAGGGUGAGAAUCCCGUGCGAUGAGAUGAUCCAGGCCUAUGUAAAGUUCCUUCGAAGAGUCGAGUUGUUUGGGAAUGCAGCUCUAAGUGGGUGGUAAAUUCCAUCUAAAGCUAAAUAUUGGCGAGAGACCGAUAGCGAACAAGUACAGUGAUGGAAAGAUGAAAAGAACUUUGAAAAGAGAGUGAAAAAGUACGUGAAAUUGUUGAAAGGGAAGGGCUUGAGAUCAGACUUGGUAUUUUGUAUGUUACUUCUUCGGGGGUGGCCUCUACAGUUUAUCGGGCCAGCAUCAGUUUGGGCGGUAGGAGAAUUGCGUUGGAAUGUGGCACGGCUUCGGUUGUGUGUUAUAGCCUUCGUCGAUACUGCCAGCCUAGACUGAGGACUGCGGUUUAUACCUAGGAUGUUGGCAUAAUGAUCUUAAGUCGCCCGUCUUGAAA
RNAcentral lists this ribosomal RNA (572 nucleotides) under Candida tropicalis. Its description in RNAcentral is "partial large subunit ribosomal RNA". It matches the Rfam family "Eukaryotic large subunit ribosomal RNA", at positions 72 to 659 of the family's 3401-position model. Lineage: Eukaryota; Fungi; Ascomycota; Pichiomycetes; Serinales; Debaryomycetaceae. The record is from RNAcentral.